AAGUCGUAACAAGGUCUCCGUUGGUGAACCAGCGGAGGGAUCAUUAAAGAGUAGUUUUUUACAACAACUCCAAACCCAUGUGAACUUACCUAUGUUGCCUCGGCGGGGAGACCUACCCGGUAGUUACCCUGUAGUUACCCUGUAGAGCUACCCGUCGACGGACCAUCAAACUCUGUUUUUCUAUGAAACUUCUGAGUGUUUUAACUUAAUAAAUUAAAACUUUCAACAACGGAUCUCUUGGUUCUG
This 246-nucleotide unclassified non-coding RNA is filed under the name Eutypella sp. RNAcentral describes it as "partial contains small subunit ribosomal RNA, internal transcribed spacer 1, and 5.8S ribosomal RNA". The stretch from base 1 to 46 matches the Rfam family "Eukaryotic small subunit ribosomal RNA", at positions 1786 to 1831 of the family's 1831-position model. Lineage: Eukaryota; Fungi; Ascomycota; Sordariomycetes; Xylariales; Diatrypaceae. The record is from RNAcentral. RNAcentral also lists the same sequence under 2 other names.